GACGAACGCUGGCGGCGUGCUUAACACAUGCAAGUCCAACGGAAAGGCCCUGCUUUUGUGGGGUGCUCGAGUGGCGAACGGGUGAGUAACACGUGAGUAACCUGCCCUUGACUUUGGGAUAACUUCAGGAAACUGGGGCUAAUACCGGAUAGGAGCUCCUGCUGCAUGGUGGGGGUUGGAAAGUUUCGGCGGUUGGGGAUGGACUCGCGGCUUAUCAGCUUGUUGGUGGGGUAGUGGCUUACCAAGGCUUUGACGGGUAGCCGGCCUGAGAGGGUGACCGGCCACAUUGGGACUGAGAUACGGCCCAGACUCCUACGGGAGGCAGCAGUGGGGAAUAUUGCACAAUGGGCGGAAGCCUGAUGCAGCAACGCCGCGUGCGGGAUGACGGCCUUCGGGUUGUAAACCGCUUUCGCCUGUGACGAAGCGUGAGUGACGGUAAUGGGUAAAGAAGCACCAGCUAACUACGUG
This 468-nucleotide ribosomal RNA is filed under the name uncultured bacterium. RNAcentral describes it as "partial 16S ribosomal RNA". It matches the Rfam family "Bacterial small subunit ribosomal RNA", at positions 28 to 507 of the family's 1533-position model. The record is from RNAcentral.